This is a long non-coding RNA of Drosophila pseudoobscura, 244 nucleotides long. RefSeq lists it as uncharacterized. The transcript has 2 exons. NCBI's taxonomy places the organism in Eukaryota, Metazoa, Arthropoda, Insecta, Diptera, Drosophilidae. The record is from RefSeq and is a predicted model, not a curated record.
CUACUGACAAGGUUAUAGGCGGCCGACACACGGAAGACAACAGCAACAGCGACAGCGACAGCGACAGCGACAGGGAUUUACUCCUUUCAACUUACCGAAAAACAAAAAAUAAGGACAGGCAGUCUUUUUGAUACGAAAUGCGAUUAACGUGAACAAGCGACGCGAUUAGGCAACAGAACAACAGAAGAAACAACACGGAACACGAGGGGACCCUAACAAACCGGACCGCGACGCGAACAAGAAG